RNAcentral lists this ribosomal RNA (473 nucleotides) under uncultured bacterium. RNAcentral describes it as "bacterial SSU rRNA". It matches the Rfam family "Bacterial small subunit ribosomal RNA", at positions 30 to 518 of the family's 1533-position model. The record is from RNAcentral.
CGAACGCUGGCGGCACGCCUAACACAUGCAAGUCGAACGGAGAAUUGAGAGCUUGCUCUUAAUCUUAGUGGCGGACGGGUGAGUAACACGUGAGCAACCUGCCUCUGAGAGAGGGAUAGCUUCUGGAAACGGAUGGUAAUACCUCAUAACAUAACGAAACCGCAUGAUUUUGUUAUCAAAGAUUUAUCACUCAGAGAUGGGCUCGCGUCUGAUUAGGUAGUUGGUGAGGUAACGGCUCACCAAGCCGACGAUCAGUAGCCGGACUGAGAGGUUGAACGGCCACAUUGGGACUGAGACACGGCCCAGACUCCUACGGGAGGCAGCAGUGAGGGAUAUUGCACAAUGGAGGAAACUCUUGAUGCAGCGAUGCCGCGUGGAGGAAGAAGGUUUUCGGAUUGUAAACUCCUGUUUCGAGGGACGAUAAUGACGGUACCUCGGGAGGAAGCUCCGGCUAACUACGUGCCAGCAGCGGC